CCGCCGGCGACCGGCGCACGGGUGAGUAACACGUAUGCAACCUGCCGUGACAGAUGGAUAACCGGGAGAAAUCCCGCCUAAUACAGCAUGACGCCGGGAAGGGACAUCCCCUUUUCCGGCCAAAGGGGGCGACUCCGGUCACGGAUGGGCAUGCGGCGCAUUAGGUAGUUGGUGGGGGCAACGGCCCACCAAGCCGACGAUGCGUAGGGGUUCUGAGAGGAAGGUCCCCCACAUUGGAACUGAGACACGGUCCAAACUCCUACGGAAGGCAGCAG
Molecule: ribosomal RNA, 275 nt
Filed under: uncultured bacterium
Lineage: Bacteria
Description: partial 16S ribosomal RNA
Rfam family: Bacterial small subunit ribosomal RNA
Source: RNAcentral